GGCUGUGAUACCUCAGUUGGUAGAAUAUGAGACUCUUAAUCUCAUGUUUGUGGGUUCAAGCCCCAUAUUGGGCA
Molecule: non-coding RNA, 74 nt
Organism: Podarcis lilfordi (Lilford's wall lizard)
Lineage: Eukaryota; Metazoa; Chordata; Lepidosauria; Squamata; Lacertidae
Source: the annotation of a GenBank genome assembly